This 750-nucleotide ribosomal RNA is filed under the name Escherichia coli. RNAcentral describes it as "bacterial SSU rRNA". It matches the Rfam family "Bacterial small subunit ribosomal RNA", at positions 801 to 1533 of the family's 1533-position model. The record is from RNAcentral. Lineage: Bacteria; Pseudomonadati; Pseudomonadota; Gammaproteobacteria; Enterobacterales; Enterobacteriaceae.
GUGGGGAGAUGUCGACUUGGAGGUUGUGCCCUUGAGGCGUGGCUUCCGGAGCUAACGCGUUAAGUCGACCGCCUGGGGAGUACGGCCGCAAGGUUAAAACUCAAAUGAAUUGACGGGGGCCCGCACAAGCGGUGGAGCAUGUGGUUUAAUUCGAUGCAACGCGAAGAACCUUACCUGGUCUUGACAUCCACGGAAGUUUUCAGAGAUGAGAAUGUGCCUUCGGGAACCGUGAGACAGGUGCUGCAUGGCUGUCGUCAGCUCGUGUUGUGAAAUGUUGGGUUAAGUCCCGCAACGAGCGCAACCCUUAUCCUUUGUUGCCAGCGGUCCGGCCGGGAACUCAAAGGAGACUGCCAGUGAUAAACUGGAGGAAGGUGGGGAUGACGUCAAGUCAUCAUGGCCCUUACGACCAGGGCUACACACGUGCUACAAUGGCGCAUACAAAGAGAAGCGACCUCGCGAGAGCAAGCGGACCUCAUAAAGUGCGUCGUAGUCCGGAUUGGAGUCUGCAACUCGACUCCAUGAAGUCGGAAUCGCUAGUAAUCGUGGAUCAGAAUGCCACGGUGAAUACGUUCCCGGGCCUUGUACACACCGCCCGUCACACCAUGGGAGUGGGUUGCAAAAGAAGUAGGUAGCUUAACCUUCGGGAGGGCGCUUACCACUUUGUGAUUCAUGACUGGGGUGAAGUCGUAAAGGGGAAACCCCGAAAACCGGUUUGGACCCCCGGUUUUUGCGGCUGAAACCUGGGGUUUC